Molecule: non-coding RNA, 25 nt
Filed under: Rattus norvegicus (Norway rat)
Lineage: Eukaryota; Metazoa; Chordata; Mammalia; Rodentia; Muridae
Source: RNAcentral
GAUUGGUUCUAGCAGUUGUCCUGGG